RNAcentral lists this ribosomal RNA (460 nucleotides) under uncultured bacterium. RNAcentral describes it as "partial 16S ribosomal RNA". It matches the Rfam family "Bacterial small subunit ribosomal RNA", at positions 338 to 795 of the family's 1533-position model. The record is from RNAcentral.
CCUACGGGGGGCAGCAGUGAGGAAUAUUGGUCAAUGGGCGUAAGCCUGAACCAGCCAAGUCGCGUGAGGGAUGAAGGUUCUAUGGAUCGUAAACCUCUUUUAUAAGGGAAUAAAGUGUGGGACGUGUCUUGUUUUGUAUGUACCUUAUGAAUAAGGAUCGGCUAACUCCGUGCCAGCAGCCGCGGUAAUACGGAGGAUCCGAGCGUUAUCCGGAUUUAUUGGGUUUAAAGGGUGCGUAGGCGGCCUUUUAAGUCAGCGGUGAAAUGCUGUGGCUCAACCAUAGAAUUGCGGUUGAAACUGGUAGGCUUGAGUAUGUGUGAGGCAGGCGGAAUGCGUGGUGUAGCGGUGAAAUGCUUAGAUAUCACGAAGAACCCCGAUUGCGAAGGCAGCCUGCCAAGCCAUGACUGACGCUGAUGCACGAAAGCGUGGGGAUCGAACAGGAUUAGAUACCCCAGUAGUC